RNAcentral lists this long non-coding RNA (226 nucleotides) under Elaeis guineensis (African oil palm). RNAcentral describes it as "long non-coding RNA (EGUI_LNC019588)". The record is from RNAcentral. Lineage: Eukaryota; Viridiplantae; Streptophyta; Magnoliopsida; Arecales; Arecaceae.
CCCUAAUUCCCAAUUUCUGACUGAGAGAUGCCCCAAAUGCCACCGGCCACCAUCCUAUCUCGAGCACCACCCAACCUCCUACCAUCCCACGGUGAUGAUGGUGAUCUGUUGGUACAAUGUCGGAGGAUCAUUCUUGCCAAAGACGAGAAUCUGGAUCAACGGCGCCCAUCGGAGGCCCUCAAUAAUGUCAUGGCCGAUGAUGUGGACCCAUCUAUCACCUACCACC